RNAcentral lists this ribosomal RNA (465 nucleotides) under uncultured bacterium. RNAcentral's name for it is "partial 16S ribosomal RNA". It matches the Rfam family "Bacterial small subunit ribosomal RNA", at positions 28 to 507 of the family's 1533-position model. The record is from RNAcentral.
GACGAACGCUGGCGGCGUGCUUAACACAUGCAAGUCGAACGGAAAGGCCCUGCUUGCAGGGUACUCGAGUGGCGAACGGGUGAGUAACACGUGGGUGAUCUGCCCUGCACUUCGGGAUAAGCCUGGGAAACUGGGUCUAAUACCGGCUAGGAGCCAUUUUUAGUGUGAUGGUUGGAAAGUUUUUUCGGUGUAGGAUGAGCUCGCGGCCUAUCAGCUUGUUGGUGGGGUAAUGGCCUACCAAGGCGGCGACGGGUAGCCGGCCUGAGAGGGUGGACGGCCACACUGGGACUGAGAGACGGCCCAGACUCCGACGGGAGGCAGCAGGGGGGAAUAUUGCACAAUGGGCGCAAGCCUGAUGCAGCGACGCCGCGUGGGGGAUGACGGUCUUCGGGUUGUAAACUCCUUUCGCUAGGGACGAAGCUUUUUGUGACGGUACCUAGAUAAGAAGCACCGGCUAACUACGUG